GCUGGAAUGGCUCAGUCGGUAGAGCGACGUACUCGUAAUACGUAGGUCGUGGGUUCGAUUCCCGCUUUCAGCA
This 73-nucleotide transfer RNA is filed under the name Bacillota bacterium. Its description in RNAcentral is "tRNA-Thr". It matches the Rfam family "tRNA". Rfam says of the family: Transfer RNA (tRNA) molecules are approximately 80 nucleotides in length. Their secondary structure includes four short double-helical elements and three loops (D, anti-codon, and T loops). Lineage: Bacteria; Bacillati; Bacillota. The record is from RNAcentral.